GAGACAACAUCUUGUUCUGCCACCCAUGCUGAAGUGCAGUGGUGUGCUCAAACUCCUGGUCUCAAGUGAUCCUCCCACCUCAGCCUCCUGAAUAGCUGGGACUACAGGUGCAACUCACCAUGCCCGACUAAUUCUUUUGUGUGUUGAGAUGGGGGUCUUGCUAUGUUGCCCAGGCUGGUCUGGAAUUCCUGGGUUCAAGUGAUCCUCCUGCCUCAGCCUCCCAAAGUGCUGGGAUUACAGGCAUGAGCCACUGUUCCCAGCCUGCUAUUUUAUUUAAUUGCAUUUAUGCAACAGAAAAGAAAUACAACAGAAUACAUACUUCUAAGUAAAUAUCUAUUUUUCAUGUUUUUAUGUUCAAGUAAUUUAUAUGUUAGGUUGGCAAAAAUUUAAAAAGCCAGACAUUUCUAACUGUUAGCAAGUGAAGAGUAUCUUAUAUACUGUUUAUAGAGUACAAAUUGGUACAAUCACUUUAUGAAAUAAUCCAGCAAUGUCUAGUGUAUUAGUUUUCUAUUGUAUAAUAAAUUACCAUAAACAUAGUAUCUUAAGACACAUUUAUUAUCUCAAAGUUUCUGUAGACCAGGAGUCUAGGCACAGUUUAUCUGUAUUCUUUGCUCAGGGUCUCACAAAACUGCUAUCAAGGUGUAAGUCAGGCUGUCUUCUCCUCUGGAGGUGACCUCUCAGCUUGUUGGCAGAAUUCAUUUCCUUGUGGUUGUAUGACUGAGGGCCCUGGCUUCUUAGUGGUUGUCAGCUGGAGGCUGCACUCAAGUUCUAGAAGCCAUCUGCAGUUCCCUGCCAUUUAGUUUUCUCCAUAGGCGGUUCACAACAUGACAGCUUGCUUCUUCAAGACCAGCGAAUCUCUAGCUCCAGUCUGGAAAGACAGUCUUAUAUAAUGAAACGGAAUCAUGGGAGUGACAUUCUAUCAACUUUGCCAUAUUCUGUUGGCUAGAAAGAACAACUGAACAAAAUAUAAAAACGUUAAUGUACUGAAGAGCUACCAAGGAAGUGAGAAUUUGUGAGUGCAAGAUCUGGAAGAAAAAGGAAGCCACCAGAGGUGAGCCUGAUAUUUGCCAUCAUUUUUCCAAAGCUAAGGUGAUUGCUGACUCUGAAAGCAGUGGCUGAAAAAGAGAGCAGAGCUUAUGGCUGUCUCAUGGGGCUUAGAAGGCCCACCAAAGAGAAGAGGCCCUAGUAAAUACCCCAGACUUUUGGAUGGGACCAUCAAGGACUAGCUAGGAAUAAGAAAGAACCGGAAAUAAAUUAGCUUUCUCAAAGACUGAA
Pongo pygmaeus (Bornean orangutan) is the source of this 1275-nucleotide long non-coding RNA. RefSeq lists it as uncharacterized. The transcript is spliced from 2 exons. NCBI's taxonomy places the organism in Eukaryota, Metazoa, Chordata, Mammalia, Primates, Hominidae. The record is from RefSeq and is a predicted model, not a curated record.